GUAUGUUAUACACCUAUUACACAUCAAUAUAAAUAAUAGCAAAGAUGCACUUUGUUCAGCGUGAGCAAAUUUUGCUAUUUGGCAUGGCAUUUCCAUUUAUAUCUCUUAUGGAGUAAUUUUAAGUAUUCUUGCUUCCAUUCGAUCGCAAGCUUUUGGUUAAUCAGCUGGGUCUUCAGAGAGUGUGGAUAUGGACCUAGAAUUCAAUAUCCUUUCAAUUCGAGCUAAUACCGUUGUAAACUCUUCAAAUGUGUACCGAUGGGCUCCUGCAAAUCACUUUAGAUGGAAUUUAAAGCUUUUGACCGCCACUCAAACCCAUGAGUUAUGUAUUUUUGAGCAAUGUCUUGCGAAACGGAGUUUAUAAAAGUCGUAAAUUCCUUGCGUAAAGCUUGAUUCGAACCGAAUAAAUUUCUACUAUUGUCCGAGACUAGUUUGUGUGGUAGACCACGGCGACCAACAAAUCGGGCGAAUGUUGCUUGAAUCGCGGCAAAACAUACAAAUACGCAUGCAUAUGCUUUGAUGAUUGAGGAUCUUCGUAAAUUGAAACUUUUAAGCAAAAACGCACCGGCUAAAUCCAUCCGGUUAUGUUGAAUGGGAAGGACAGGGUACAGAGGUCGGUAGUGAUAAAUAUAGAUUACAUUCGGAGUAGAAUGUUUGGGAAGCGCUCAUUGCAUGGUAAUAAAGAAUUGGCUGGGCAACCAUUGACUCUUAAAAGAC
Lucilia cuprina (Australian sheep blowfly) is the source of this 714-nucleotide long non-coding RNA. RefSeq lists it as uncharacterized. NCBI's taxonomy places the organism in Eukaryota, Metazoa, Arthropoda, Insecta, Diptera, Calliphoridae. The record is from RefSeq and is a predicted model, not a curated record. The transcript has 3 exons.